This is a non-coding RNA of Triticum aestivum (bread wheat), 88 nucleotides long. The record is from Rfam. Lineage: Eukaryota; Viridiplantae; Streptophyta; Magnoliopsida; Poales; Poaceae.
CUGGAUGAAAAUAUGAGCUGGGCUCCGAGCAGCAAACAUCGUUGUGGUCUGAUGGAGAUGCAUUUGCCUAGAAACCAUUGUCUGACAA